Non-coding RNA from Salmo salar (Atlantic salmon), 1181 nucleotides. Lineage: Eukaryota; Metazoa; Chordata; Actinopteri; Salmoniformes; Salmonidae. The record is from the annotation of a RefSeq genome assembly.
GGAUUUCAGAACUUUUCUUAAUGACAGUGCAGUGAUUUGCCCAGGAGGAACAUUUCCAUAGAGAGACACUUUGCAUUGGCAUCACAUGCUUCAGUGCUCUGGGAGUGUUUAUAGCCCUGUGAGUUGAACACUUCAUGUGAGAGCUGUGUUUCAUUUAAACAGAACCCACGGCAACCAUGACUUUCAUCACCAUCUUCAUCUGGACUCUGGUCUGUUACACACAAGGGUCUUGGGGCCAGUAUGUAUUGACUCAGUCUGCAGCUCAAUCAGUCCAGCCGGGUCAAACUGUCUCUAUUGACUGUAGCGCCAGUAGUAAAGUUAAUCAGUACUCUGGCUCACGGUAUUACCUGGCCUGGUACCAUCAGACGUUUGGAGAAGCUCCUAAACUCCUGAUCUAUUACACAUCAGACAGGUUCACAGGAGUUUCCACCAGGUUCAGUGGCAGUGGGAGAGGAAAUGGUAUUGACUUCACUCUGACCAUCAGUAAAGUCCAGGCUGAGGAUACAGGAGUUUACUACUGUCAGAGUUACCACAGUGGUACUGUGUUCACACAGUGAUUUAGAGCCGCACAAAAACCUCCCUCAGUCAGAGUCCACUGCUGCAGCUGGGACCUACUGCAGGUGCUGAGGGCGAAGACAAUGACAUGCGUCACUGAGUACUACUGUACAAACACUCAACUCACUGGGCAGAAACUGGAUGAAUCAAGGCUGUUUCCACAUCAAUUAAACCAAACAAAUCUUUGUGAUAAAGUUGAAUCAUCAUGGAAAACCAAUUGGAUUUGCAAAAAGUCGUCGGCGUAAGAGCAUUGUCUUUUUUUUACCCAACUUUUAACAUUUGUUGUUGAUUUCACGUUGAAUUCACGGUUAGUUGACAACUCAACCAAAUGUAAAUCUCAACUAGAUGUUGAACUGUUGUCUGUGCCCAGUGUGAACCUACCAUUCAUUAUACACUGUGACCACAUGUAACGGCUUGUCUGUGGUGUGGAGGAAAGAAGCGCAGGAAGCAGCGAACACUGUGUGGUAAUUUUAAUAAACCACCUGUACAAAAUAACACAAUCGACAAGCACAGUUGAACAAACCUCAGUCGACACACAGAAGGACAAUCCCGCACAAUAGAGAGUGGGCCAGCUGAACUAAAUAGCCCUCUUAAUUGACUAACUCAGGGCAGGUGAGACAACAUAA